AACGUACAACUAGGGGUGGGGUAGGAAUACAGAUAUCUGAUAUUGGGUUUACCCGUACUUAACUCGAUAUCUGAUAUUGGGUGUUAUUGAGGUGUAGAUGCACAGUUUGAGGACUACUGCAUAGCGGACGAGCAAUACAGGGAUGAUGAGCUGAUGUACGCAAUGAAGUGGGCGUGCAGCAACGGGGCAGAGUGCAGCGCUCUUGAAGAGAAUAAGCCGUGCUUCUACCCCAACACCACCAAGGACCACGCCUCUUACGCAUUCAACAGCUACUAUCAGAACACCAAGCACAUUGGAGGCAGCUGCUACUUCAUCGCUGCUGCACUUUUGACCGCUCUUAAUCCAAGUCAUGACUCAUGCGUAUGCUUCCGCCUCCUCACACAAAAGUGGUGCCCAAAGUAGCAGCUCCUGCUUUCCAUCAAGGCCGGUCUUUAGGGGUCUUCAAUCUUGAUUUUAGCUAAUGAGGCAUCCAACGUGUAUAACUAAAGUUGAUUAGUUAAUGAUAAUGAGACUACAUUUCA
Non-coding RNA from Salvia hispanica, 521 nucleotides. The record is from RefSeq and is a predicted model, not a curated record. NCBI's taxonomy places the organism in Eukaryota, Viridiplantae, Streptophyta, Magnoliopsida, Lamiales, Lamiaceae.